AGACUGAACGCUGGCGGCAUGCCUAACACAUGCAAGUCGAACGGCAGCGCGGGGAGCAAUCCCUGGCGGCGAGUGGCGGACGGGUGAGGAAUACAUCGGAAUCUACCCUGUCGUGGGGGAUAACUAACCGAAAGGUUAGCUAAUACCGCAUACGACACCGCGUUUGAUAGACGCAGGGUGAAAGCGGAGGACCUUCGGGCUUCGCGCGAUUGGAUGAGCCGAUGUCGGAUUAGCUAGUUGGCGGGUAAGAGCCCACCAAGGCGACGAUCCGUAGCUGGUCUGAGAGGAUGAUCAGCCACACUGGGACUGAGACACGGCCCAGACUCCUACGGGAGGCAGCAGUGGGGAAUAUUGGACAAUGGGCGCAAGCCUGAUCCAGCAAUGCCGCGUGUGUGAAGAAGGCCUUGGGUUGUAAAGCACUUUAGUCGGAGACGAAAGCGCGUGGUUAAUACCCGAUGCGUCAUGACGUACCGAGAAUAAGC
Molecule: ribosomal RNA, 482 nt
Filed under: uncultured soil bacterium
Lineage: Bacteria
Description: bacterial SSU rRNA
Rfam family: Bacterial small subunit ribosomal RNA
Source: RNAcentral